AGUAAAUGAUAAAUAAAAUAGUACAUCAUUAACAAAUGAUGACGAUUUGUUUGCAACAAAGUUCAAAUUUUUGCACACGAUAUUGUUUUCUAAAAAAUUGAAAUAUGACUGAAAAAGCCUUCGAUAGUGAUGGAAAACCAAUUGUGCUGUCUAGACCACUUGUAAAAAGGAUCUUAGCUAACGAUCCAAAGAGAUUUAGUGGAAAAUACAUGUUGAAAGAAAUGAUUGGAGAUAAUUUUGAUUGCGACGCUCAUUAUGAGCGCAAUAAAAAACAUGCGUAAGCAGUUGUAAAUUCUUCAAAUAUUAUUCCUGUUCCUUCCGAAUAUAAUGGAAAGCUAGAAAAUUUACGUAGCAGUGCUGCUACUUUCUACACCACUCCAAUUUCUUCUAUAUGACAAUCAGAGUGUGGCAAUUUCAUUUUGUUCCCUCCUGAUGAUGCCUACACUUUUACUACGAUUGAAAAGUUUCACACCAAGGACUGGUUUCCGAGGAUCAAUUUCAAAGAAUAUCGAGUGGCACAAAAUUCAACAUUCGAAAUCCAACAAAUUCGAAGCAAUUUAUGGGAGAUUGUAAGAAAAUACUAAUGCUUCAAGUUUUGAGUGAUUCUGAGGCGCCGAGCAAUAAAUCUAAAUAGUCGGAGAAACAAGCAACUAACACAUUCAAAAAGCUUCUAGUGAAAAGUGGAAUAAAAGCUGUUGACAGAAAAUUACCAUCUGCAAUCAACAUUUUUGACCAAGAUGCUCCUACCAGUCAAUCUCGAUCUUUGAAGCGCAAGUUUUUUGAUGAGGUGAUGUCCUCUGCUAACAAAUUAGAACCGAAGUAUAAGAAGCUGGCGAAGGGUAAUAAAUUGGCAGAAAAAGAUACCAAGGAUUCAAAAAAAUUGCUUGAGAAAACAGAAUUGAGAAAACAGCAGACCAUAAAAAUGAAAACUCCACCAGUAUCAGCGAAACAAAAAUUGGCUUCUGUUAUAUCUUACAAAUCAGACAAAGCGAUGAAACAAAUUAACUUAUUUCCGAAAGAAGAUGACGAAGCUGGUCCAAAAUUGCAAGCUUUUGUGGAUUCAAUUUCAGGAACACAUGGCAGUCAAAGGUUGUGUGACUCUGAUUUUGACAGUCCUCAACCUGGCAGUAUUCCAAGCAGCUCAGAUAUAGAAUUGACUAAUCAAGGGCAAAAAGUUCUUGAUGUUGUUGUUGAACAAAAUCUCCUACCACCACCAACCGCAAUUGCUUCACCAAUUUUUCAACAAGAAACCAGGGCCAGUAGACGCAAUGUCGGUUCUGCUGUAAUUAAUUAUGCAGAAACGAAAAGUGACAGUGGAUCUGAUUUUGCUCAACCGACUUCAUUCGAUUUUUCAAUUCCUCCACAACAACCAGCAAUUCUGAAACCUAUUGUACAUAAUAAGAGCAUAGUGACUGCUGUCCCUAAAACUCCAUCUCCAACUAGAUUAAUUGUUCCAACCUGAGGUUAUACCUCUGUUCCUGUUGUUGCCAUACCCCGGGACAAAGAAAUGUAAGAUCUAUUUUCAAUUAUGAGCACUCAAAAUAUGGUGACCAGCAGUUAAGUCAGCAAUUUUGAUCUCAAUAACACAUGCGCUUCGGUCAUCAAGUAUAUGAAUGAAAAUCCGUCUGGAAGUGGAAUUUUGUUAAAUCUGCUAACAACCGUCAAAGACAUUCAGGUUGACCAAAAACUAUUGAAAAAUCAAUUUCAGCUUUUGGUUUCAACUCUCAAUCGCGAUAGAAGUUUUUAACAAUCAAUGGGAACAGUGAUUUUUACUUCUCCAUGGCAAGCGAAAUUCAAAAAAUUUGCCAAUUACCUUUGUCAAAAAUUGGCGAUUUAUGCGUUGCCGAAGAAAUGUUCAAGAAUGCUGAUUAUGUCAGCUUCUUGUUAAUGAUUUUUGUUACGAAUUCGGUUGCUGGUGGCCCAGUGGGAAUGGUAGCUGGGUUUGUGUGGGAUAAAUUUUUUACCCCAAGCUUAUCCAGCCUCAUUGCCUGGGCCAGCAUUGAUGAAUGCAGGGAAGAUGGCUUCAAAGAAUUUGGUAGGAAAGAUGGGGAGAAGAAGAAAUUGCUGUUGUUUAAAUCACGUUUUCCGAGAUUGACCCAAAUGAUUUACCACAUCAUUCGGCGACGUGCAAUGCUGAGUGAAAAGAAACCACGGUCAACAUUCAAAAUGAAUGAAGAAAUUAAGAAAGCUAGGGCUGUCAGCGUCAGAAGAUAUACUACUGGAAUGUAUAUUACGGACUUUCAAGACUCCUCUUCAGCGUAUCCCGGCAGAUUGUGUUUGGCAAUGUUUUCUGAAGAUAUAGACCAGGGACCAGAACUUAAUCAAGCAGAUUUCAAAGAAGAUCAGAAAGUCCGAAGAAAUACGUGCUUCAUUUGCUCCAAUAGAAGUGCUAUUUGUCAAAUCGAAGCUGAAGGAUUUGCUGGUGACAAAUUGGGCUGAACAAGUCGAAAUAAAUCGAAGAAAUCUUCUGCAGCUGCUAAGAAAAAGGCGAAGAAAUUCGUGAAGAAAAAUAAUACAGUAGAAAAAACUGCUGGUGGAAGUUGUAGACGAUCAAAUCGAAGAGUCAAUGAGAAACCGAGGAGGGAGUUUUUGAAUUAUUGUUCGUUUGCUCAUCGCUUUCAACGUAUUGAAGAAAGAGCGAUGAAUAAUAUGUCUGAAGGAGUUUCAUUCUUGGAUUGUUCGGCGAUGACAAACCAAUUGAUUGAGGCACGUUCCUUGUACCAAGGGUACCUAUAAAUUCGAGCCUACCACGCGGAUGAUGACGAUAUUGGCGCGCCAGAAGACAAUUCACCUCCAGGUUGUGGCAAUAAACAAUCUGGUCAAAGUUCAACUAUUUCCAAGAAAAAGCGUCCACGAGCAUGUGGUGAUACUGACGAGAGUGAAACCGAAGGUGAUAACAGUGAUGCGAGCAAUAGCAGCAAUGACGAAGAAGAAAAGAGCGACAAAGGGACAGAAAGUGAUAAAGAUUUGGUGCUAUUCUCAGUUAGUCCGGUGCAAUUCUCAGAUAGCGAAGUUAGCGAAACUAGUGAAGAGGACGUAGUUGAGGAAGUUCAGGUAAUACCAAAACCAAAGGUAAAUUUUGAUUUUAAAUCAAUGCACUAAGAAAAAAAUUAGAGCUGUUGACAUUUUUUUUAAACAGAAGAAGAAGUCGAAGAAGAGGUCUGAACACCAUGGAGAAAGACAAACAUUUUAGUUCUUGAACAUAUUUUCUAUUUUGAAGUUUUUUUCUCUCAGUUUAUUAUAUUAUCAGCUUGAAUGGUAUUUAAACUAAUUGUUGCAGACUUCUAAGUCAUGAGAUGAAUAAUUUAGUUAAAGAUGCUGAAUAGUUAAUGAAUGAAGGUUUGUAGUUUUCUUGCCUUUGUGUCACUGACAGUGUCAUCUUUUUAUAUUUGUUUAGCUUUAAAGUUUUUUUAUUGAAUUCUUAGAGAGUAAGUUAUUUUUUUAAUUUUGUUACAGAAUCGUUAUAUUUAUUUCUCUGUUUUCUUUCGAAAUUCGUGUUUAAAAUGCAUAUAAGUUUUUGAAGUUUUGCUUUUUUUUUUCAUUUUCUUAUAUUACAGCAUUAUAAUCUUAUAUUAUAAAAAGAAUAUAAUAAAAUAAUUUUUAUUUUAUGUAUGUAAAUAUUUUUAUAUUUGUUAGUUGACAAUAAUUUAGAAAAUAGAGAAGUCCAAAGUAAACUUAAAUAUAUUUUGAAUUUUUUAUGAGUGAAUUUGUGUUUUUGUUUUAUUUUAUUAUAAAUUGCAGUUUGUGUAUGUAUAUACAUUUACAAACUGCCAUCUAUAAAUGAACUUAAGUAUUUACAUUUAGUUUUUAUUUCAUUACACAAGCCAUGGGUUUUGAUAUUUAGCUUUUAUUUAGCUUUUGCUUUUUUUGUUGUAAAUACUUUAUAUGGCUUUGUUUAAUUUGAGAUUUGUUGGUUGUGUUUAUUUAGCUUUUCUUGUUAAGGUGCUGAUUUGCUGAGAAGAAAGUUACACAAGCGAAUUUUAAGUUUGUAUAUACUUUUGAUAUUAUGUUUAUAAAUGUUCUGAUCUUUAAAAUGAAUAAAAUCAUUUUUGGUAAUGUUAUCUUGAAUUUUAAAGUAUUAUUUUUUUAUACUUAAAACUUUUUUCUUUUUUUUUAGACUUUAAAAAUUUCUAUUUAUGAUUUAUAACAUAUAUUUUUAAAGUUCUGCUUUCACGAUAUUUGGUUUUAGUUGGCUCACUGUUUAAUAUAACUUUAAUUUAGUAAAUUUGAAACUCAAUUAAAUAAUCAAUUAAAGCUAGCGAGUAAGUCACUUUGAUUCAAUAACACCGAGGAAUUUAUGACUUAAAUUUUUUUGCUUGAAUAGAUUCCAAUUAUUUUUAUAUACUAUAAACAUUGUCAGUUUCUAACUCAUUUAGUAUAUUCAAUGACAAUCAAUUGUGAAGCAACAAUAACAUUGUGAAAUUUUUAUAGGCAUAUGUUUGGUGUGCAUCUUAAGAUCAUGUUGGUGUUUUUAAUAAAUGUUGAACUUUUUGAUAAAAUUUAAUUUGUGUACGUAAACUUGGUCAAAUUUAUCUAAAAUAGGUUUUUAAUAUGUUAUAUAUAUGAAAUUAGUUAUCAUAAAGUUCAAAAUCAAAACUUUUUGCCUGCAGUGGAAAAGCUAAGAAAAAGGACUUAGCCCGAAGAUUUGUUUUAUAUAAAUAAAUGCAAUAAUAUAAGGGAGUUAGAUGAAAGAUUAAUAAUAAAGAAAAGUUUCAUUUGUUGGUUUCGUUUAUUCUUUACAUUAAUAUAUAUAGGAAAUAUUUUGUAGGGCUGUCAACUUUAUCGAAAAGGUGAUAGUUCAAUUUCAGCUUCGAUUAAUAAAGUUUUUGAUAAAGCUAUGUCUAUAUUCAAUCAUUGUUUAAUAAAGCAGGGAGAUAUGACAAAAGAUUAUUUUAAAAACAUUGUUGUACAAAGCAAGUAGAAACAAUGCUGUCACAUGUAACAAAAUUCGAUUCGGUGUCAGUUCGUUAAUGCGUUGAUAGGCGAUCAAGAGAGCUCCUUAAAAAAUAAAAUAUUUUAUAUCGUUUUUGUAUACUUUUUCAUUAAAAAUAAAUAUAAAAUUAUUAAA
Molecule: non-coding RNA, 5068 nt
Organism: Hydra vulgaris (swiftwater hydra)
Lineage: Eukaryota; Metazoa; Cnidaria; Hydrozoa; Anthoathecata; Hydridae
Source: RefSeq, a predicted model, not a curated record